AAAAAAGGUAAGCUACUAAGAGCGAAUGGUGGAUGCCUUGACUGGUAAAGGCGAUGAAGGACGUACUAGACUGCGAUAAGCUACGGGGAGCUGUCAAGAAGCUUUGAUCCGUAGAUUUCCGAAUGGGGCAACCCAAUGUAUAGAGAUAUACAUUACCUAUAUAGGAGCGAACGAGGGGAAUUGAAACAUCUUAGUACCCUCAGGAAAAGAAAUCAAUAGAGAUUGCGUCAGUAGCGGCGAGCGAAAGCGCAAGAGGGCAAACCCAGUGCUUGCACUGGGGGUUGUAGGACUGCAAUGUGCAAGAGGUAAGUUUAGCAGAACAUUCUGGAAAGUAUAACCAUAGAGGGUGAUAGUCCCGUAUGCGAAAAACAAACCUUAGCUAGCAGUAUCCUGAGUAGGGCGGGACACGAGGAAUCCUGUCUGAAUCCGGGUCGACCACGAUCCAACCCUAAAUACUAAUACCAGAUCGAUAGUGCACAAGUACCGUGAGGGAAAGGUGAAAAGAACUGAGGUGAUCAGAGUGAAAUAGAACCUGAAACCAUUUGCUUACAAUCAUUCAGAGCCCUAUGUAGCAAUACAGGGUGAUGGACUGCCUUUUGCAUAAUGAGCCUGCGAGUUGUGGUGUCUGGCAAGGUUAAGCAAACGCGAAGCCGUAGCGAAAGCGAGUCUGAAUAGGGCGCUUAGUCAGAUGCUGCAGACCCGAAACGAAGUGAUCUAUCCAUGAGCAAGUUGAAGCUAGUGUAAGAACUAGUGGAGGACUGAACCCAUAGGCGUUGAAAAGCCCCGGGAUGACUUGUGGAUAGGGGUGAAAGGCCAAUCAAACUUCGUGAUAGCUGGUUCUCUCCGAAAUAUAUUUAGGUAUAGCGUUGUGUCGUAAUAUAAGGGGGUAGAGCACUGAAUGGGCUAGGGCAUACACCAAUGUACCAAACCCUAUCAAACUCCGAAUACCUUAUAUGUAAUCACAGCAGUCAGGCGGCGAGUGAUAAAAUCCGUCGUCAAGAGGGAAACAACCCAGACUACCAGCUAAGGUCCCUAAAUCUUACUUAAGUGGAAAACGAUGUGAAGUUACUUAAACAACCAGGAGGUUGGCUUAGAAGCAGCCAUCCUUUAAAGAAAGCGUAAUAGCUCACUGGUCUAGUGAUUUUGCGCGGAAAAUAUAACGGGGCUAAAGUAAGUACCGAAGCUGUAGACUUGCACACAACUUAGAUUAUUUAAGUUUAGAAUAUGAGAAACUAAGUUAUAUGUUUAGUUAUAUUUUUACUGAUUUUUAUAGAGUAAAGAUAGAAAUAAAACUUAGUAAAAUCAGUAAAAAUAUUCUUAGACUAAAGUUAAGUAGUUUAAGUUGUGUGCAAGUGGUAGGAGAGCGUUCUAUUUGCGUCGAAGGUAUACCGGUAAGGAGUGCUGGAGCGAAUAGAAGUGAGCAUGCAGGCAUGAGUAGCGAUAAUUAAUGUGAGAAUCAUUAACGCCGUAAACCCAAGGUUUCCUACGCGAUGCUCGUCAUCGUAGGGUUAGUCGGGUCCUAAGUCGAGUCCGAAAGGGGUAGACGAUGGCAAAUUGGUUAAUAUUCCAAUACCAACAUUAGUGUGCGAUGGAAGGACGCUUAGGGCUAAGGGGGCUAGCGGAUGGAAGUGCUAGUCUAAGGUCGUAGGAGGUUGUACAGGCAAAUCCGUAUAACAAUACUCCGAGAACUGAAAGGCUUUUUGAAGUCUUCGGAUGGAUAGAAGAACCCCUGAUGCCGUCGAGCCAAGAAAAGUUUCUAAGUUUAGCUAAUGUUGCCCGUACCGUAAACCGACACAGGUGGGUGGGAUGAGUAUUCUAAGGCGCGUGGAAGAACUCUCUUUAAGGAACUCUGCAAAAUAGCACCGUAUCUUCGGUAUAAGGUGUGGUUCGCUUUGUAUUAGGAUUUACUCCGAAAGCAAAGAAACUUACAACAAAGAGUCCCUCCCGACUGUUUACCAAAAACACAGCACUCUGCUAACUCGUAAGAGGAUGUAUAGGGUGUGACGCCUGCCCGGUGCUCGAAGGUUAAUUGAUGGGGUUAGCAUUAGCGAAGCUCUUGAUCGAAGCCCGAGUAAACGGCGGCCGUAACUAUAACGGUCCUAAGGUAGCGAAAUUCCUUGUCGGUUAAAUACCGACCUGCAUGAAUGGCGUAACGAGAUGGGAGCUGUCUCAAAGAGGGAUCCAGUGAAAUUGUAGUGGAGGUGAAAAUUCCUCCUACCCGCGGCAAGACGGAAAGACCCCGUGGACCUUUACUACAGCUUGACACUGCUAUUUGGAUAAGAAUGUGCAGGAUAGGUGGGAGGCUUUGAGUUAUGGACGCCAGUUCAUAAUGAGCCAUUGUUGAGAUACCACUCUUUCUUAUUUGGGUAGCUAACUAGCUUGAGUUAUCCUCAAGUAGGACAAUGUCUGGUGGGUAGUUUGACUGGGGCGGUCGCCUCCCAAAUAAUAACGGAGGCUUACAAAGGUUGGCUCAGAACGGUUGGAAAUCGUUCGUAGAGUAUAAAGGUAUAAGCCAGCUUAACUGCGAGACAUACAAGUCAAGCAGAGACGAAAGUCGGUCUUAGUGAUCCGGUGGUUCUGUGUGGAAGGGCCAUCGCUCAAAGGAUAAAAGGUACCCCGGGGAUAACAGGCUGAUCUCCCCCAAGAGCUCACAUCGACGGGGAGGUUUGGCACCUCGAUGUCGGCUCAUCGCAUCCUGGGGCUGGAGCAGGUCCCAAGGGUAUGGCUGUUCGCCAUUUAAAGCGGUACGCGAGCUGGGUUCAGAACGUCGUGAGACAGUUCGGUCCCUAUCUGCCGUGGGCGUAAGAAGAUUGAAGAGAUUUGACCCUAGUACGAGAGGACCGGGUUGAACAAACCACUGGUGUAGCUGUUGUUCUGCCAAGAGCAUCGCAGCGUAGCUAAGUUUGGAAAGGAUAAACGCUGAAAGCAUCUAAGCGUGAAGCCAACUCUAAGAUGAAUCUUCUCUAAGCUCUCUAGAAGACUACUAGUUUGAUAGGCUGGGUGUGUAAUGGAUGAAAGUCCUUUAGCUGACCAGUACUAAUAGAGCGUUUGGCUUAUCUUUAAUAAAGCAU
RNAcentral lists this ribosomal RNA (3071 nucleotides) under Campylobacter jejuni. RNAcentral describes it as "23S ribosomal RNA". It matches the Rfam family "Bacterial large subunit ribosomal RNA". The record is from RNAcentral. Lineage: Bacteria; Pseudomonadati; Campylobacterota; Epsilonproteobacteria; Campylobacterales; Campylobacteraceae.